Molecule: ribosomal RNA, 360 nt
Filed under: uncultured bacterium
Lineage: Bacteria
Description: bacterial SSU rRNA
Rfam family: Bacterial small subunit ribosomal RNA
Source: RNAcentral
GUGCCAGCCGCCGCGGUAAUACGUAGGGGGCGAGCGUUGUCCGGAAUUACUGGGCGUAAAGGGCGUGUAGGCGGCCUUUCAAGUCAGCUGUGAAAUUCCCCGGCUCAACCGGGGGCCUGCAGUUGAAACUGGAGGGCUUGAGUGCAGAAGAGGAGGGUGGAAUUCCUGGUGUAGCGGUGAAAUGCGUAGAUAUCAGGAGGAACACCGGUGGCGAAGGCGACCUUCUGGUCUGUUACUGACGCUGAGGCGCGAAAGCUAGGGGAGCGAACAGGAUUAGAUACCCUGGUAGUCCUAGCUGUAAACGCUGGGUACUAGGUGUAGGGGGUUUAGAUACCUUCUGUGCCGUAGUUAACGCAUUAA